This 347-nucleotide ribosomal RNA is filed under the name uncultured Glomeromycotina. RNAcentral describes it as "LSU rRNA". The record is from RNAcentral. Lineage: Eukaryota; Fungi; Glomeromycota.
AAAAGGGGGUAAUCAACCUUUUGAGCUCGGUCUCGUGGGUUUUGAAGAGUUUCAAAGCCUUCGGAUUCGCGGGAUUGGGAUCUCUCGGUGUACUUUUUCGUACGGUUAGUCAACAUCGGUUUUGAAUGUCAUAAAAUGACUGGAGGAACGUAGCUUCGAUCUCGUAUUGAAGUGUUAUAGCCUUUGGUAGAUGUGAUGUUUGAGACCGAGGAUUGCAACGGAUACCCUUCAGGGCUAUUCGUCUGAUCUCUGAUACGUUGCCCUGAUGUUGAAAGCUUGCUUAUGAUGUUAGGGUAUUACGGUCAAAAGGUUAGAACGAAUUACAUUCGUUAAGGAUGUUGACGUAA